Molecule: non-coding RNA, 72 nt
Organism: Kaistia soli DSM 19436
Lineage: Bacteria; Pseudomonadati; Pseudomonadota; Alphaproteobacteria; Hyphomicrobiales; Kaistiaceae
Source: Rfam
UGGGGCGUCGCCAAGCGGUAAGGCAGCGGUUUUUGGUACCGCCAUUCGGAGGUUCGAAUCCUCCCGCCCCAG